RNAcentral lists this ribosomal RNA (718 nucleotides) under uncultured bacterium. Its description in RNAcentral is "bacterial SSU rRNA". It matches the Rfam family "Bacterial small subunit ribosomal RNA", at positions 77 to 812 of the family's 1533-position model. The record is from RNAcentral.
UAGCAAUAUUGUCUUAGUGGCGAACGGGUGAGUAACGCGUUGGUGACCUGCCUCGAAGAGAGGGAUAACAGUUCGAAAGGAUUGCUAAUACCUCAUGUGGUUGCUUGGGUUAGAGACCUUGCAACUAAACGGAUUUAUUCGCUUCGAGAGGGGCCUGCGUCCCAUCAGCUAGUUGGUAGGGUAAUGGCCUACCAAGGCGAUGACGGGUAGGGGACCUGAGAGGGUGGCCCCCCACAAUGGAACUGAAACACGGUCCAUACACCUACGGGUGGCAGCAGUAGGGAAUAUUGGUUAAUCUGGGAAACCGGGAACCAGCAACGCCGCGUGCGCGAUGAAGGCCUUCGGGUUGUAAAGCGCUUUUAGAGAGGAUGAGGAAGGACAGUACUCUCUGAAUAAGCCUCGGCUAACUACGUGCCAGCAGCCGCGGUAAAACGUAGGAGGCGAGCGUUAUCCGGAUUUACUGGGCGUAAGCGCGUGUAGGCGGUUUGAUAAGUUGGAUGUGAAAGCUCCUGGCUUAACUGGGAGAGGUCGUUCAAAACUGUCAGACUUGAGAGUGGUAGAGGGAGGUGGAAUUCCGGGUGUAGUGGUGAAAUGCGUAGAUAUCCGGAGGAACACCGGUGGCGAAAGCGGCCUCCUGGACCAUUUCUGACGCUCAGACGCGAAAGCUAGGGUAGCAAACGGGAUUAGAGACCCCGGUAGUCCUAGCUGUAAACGAUGU